CUGUGUCCCGCGCCGCCGGUUCGCCGCCUGCCGGUGUCAAACUGGCGCGCAGCGGGACGUCCUGCCGGUGGCGGUCCGGGGCGAUGUCCGUCCGUCCGUAUGGGCGCCCGACUCAGGUCGCGGUCAGCCCAGAGGUCGGCGCGGCUCGCCUACGGCCGCCUGUCAAUCCCGCAGCGGUGCUCUUCACCGAGUGUCGAGGCGGGCCGGCACGUUUACUUUGAACAAAUUAGAGUGCUCAAAGCAGGCUCUCCUACGCCUGGAUACUGCGUGCAUGGAAUAAUGGAAUAGGACCUCGGUUCUAUUUUGUUGGUUUGCCGAGCCCGAGGUAAUGAUCAAUGGGGACGGGCGGGGGCAUUCGUAUUGCGACGUUAGAGGUGAAAUUCUUGGAUCGUCGCAAGACGGACCUAAGCGAAAGCAUUUGCCAAGUACGUUCCCGUCGAUCAAGAACGAAAGUUAGAGGUUCGAAGGCGAUCAGAUACCGCCCUAGUUCUAACCAUAAACCGUGCCUGCCAGCGAUCCGCCGGCGUUCCUCCGAUGACCCGGCGGGCAGCUUCCGGGAAACCAGAGCUUUUGGGUUCCGGGGGAAGUAUGGUUGCAAAGCUGAAACUUAAAGGAAUUGACGGAAGGGCACCACCAGGAGUGGAGCCUGCGGCUUAAUUUGACUCAACACGGGAAAACUCACCAGGCCCGGACACCGGGAGGAUUGACAGAUUGAGAGCUCUUUCUUGAUUCGGUGGGUGGUGGUGCAUGGCCGUUCUUAGUUGGUGGAGCGAUUUGUCUGGUUAAUUCCGAUAACGAACGAGACUCUAGCCUACUAAAUAGACGAUACCGGUAUCCACACUAGUGCUACCGGCGAUCAAAACUCUUCUUAGAGGUACAGGCGGCUCCUAGCCGCACGAGACUGAGCGAUAACAGGUCUGUGAUGCCCUUAGAUGUCCUGGGCCGCACGCGCGCUACACUGAAGGAAUCAGCGUGUCCUCCCUGUCCGAAAGGACCGGGUAACCCGCUGAACCUCCUUCGUGCUGGGGAUUGGGGCUUGCAAUUGUUCCCCAUGAACGAGGAAUUCCCAGUAAGCGCGAGUCAUAAGCUCGCGUUGAUUACGUCCCUGCCCUUUGUACACACCGCCCGUCGCUACUACCGAUUGAAUGAUUUAGCGAGGUCUUCGGACCGGCCCGCGGGGGUGGCCUUCGCGGCCGCUCGCGAUGCGGUCGGGAAGAUUACCGAACUUGAUCAUU
This 1235-nucleotide ribosomal RNA is filed under the name Copicerus sp. DEL130. RNAcentral describes it as "SSU rRNA". It matches the Rfam family "Eukaryotic small subunit ribosomal RNA", at positions 723 to 1773 of the family's 1831-position model. Lineage: Eukaryota; Metazoa; Arthropoda; Insecta; Hemiptera; Delphacidae. The record is from RNAcentral.